AACACAUGGAGCUGGAGACCCAACCAGAAAGAGGAUCUGAAUGGUCAGACUCUAUGUCAUGUCUUAUGAAGAAACUGGAACAGCUGAAUUUAGAUAUUGAAGAAGCUCUGAGUGCUGGCUCUUCUCCCUCCAGCACUCCUUCUACCAAAAGGCAC
Anas platyrhynchos (mallard) is the source of this 155-nucleotide non-coding RNA. Lineage: Eukaryota; Metazoa; Chordata; Aves; Anseriformes; Anatidae. The record is from RefSeq and is a predicted model, not a curated record.